AACCAGCACCUCAAGUGGUCAGGAUGAUUAUUGGGCCUAAAGCAUCCGUAGCCGGCUCUGUAAGUUUUCGGUUAAAUCUGUACGCUUAACGUACAGGCUGCCGGGAAUACUGCAGAGCUAGGGAGUGGGAGAGGUAGACGGUACUCGGGAGGAAGUGGUAAAAUGCUUUGAUCUCUCGAUGACCACCUGUGGCGAAGGCGGUCUACCAGAACACGUCCGACGGUGAGGGAUGAAAGCUGGGGGAGCAAACCGGAUUAGAAACCCGAGUAGUCC
Molecule: ribosomal RNA, 273 nt
Filed under: uncultured bacterium
Lineage: Bacteria
Description: partial 16S ribosomal RNA
Rfam family: Archaeal small subunit ribosomal RNA
Source: RNAcentral